This 434-nucleotide ribosomal RNA is filed under the name uncultured bacterium. RNAcentral describes it as "partial 16S ribosomal RNA". It matches the Rfam family "Bacterial small subunit ribosomal RNA", at positions 29 to 507 of the family's 1533-position model. The record is from RNAcentral.
AGCGAACGCUGGCGGCAGGCCUAACACAUGCCAGUCGAACGAACCUUUCGGGGUUAGUGGCGGACGGGUGAGUAACACGUGGGAACGUGCCUUUAGGUUCGGAAUAACUCAGGGAAACUUGUGCUAAUACCGAAUGUGCCCUUCGGGGGAAAGAUUUAUCGCCUUUAGAGCGGCCCGCGUCUGAUUAGCUAGUUGGUUGAGGUAAUGGCUCACCAAGGCGACGAUCAGUAGCUGGUCUGAGAGGAUGAGCAGCCACAUUGGGACUGAGACACGGCCCAAACUCCUACGGGAGGCAGCAGUGGGGAAUCUUGCGCAAUGGGCGAAAGCCUGACGCAGCCAUGCCGCGUGAAUGAUGAAGGUCUUAGGAUUGUAAAAUUCUUUCACCGGGGACGAUAAUGACGGUACCCGGAGAAGAAGCCCCGGCUAACUUCGUG